Molecule: long non-coding RNA, 393 nt
Organism: Ipomoea nil (Japanese morning glory)
Lineage: Eukaryota; Viridiplantae; Streptophyta; Magnoliopsida; Solanales; Convolvulaceae
Exons: 4
Source: RefSeq, a predicted model, not a curated record
AUAUAUAUUCCUUAUUCGUUAACUGUGGCAGCACACUUACAUCUCAUUAUAUCUUGUUUUGCUGGCCUAGCUAUAAUCUUUUUCAAUAAUGUGCAGAUUAUUGACACAUCAAUUGAUUCUCUCUUGUUUCUGUUGCUGCUGCAACAUCAAACAAUGCAUAUGAUUACUCAAAUGGGCAUGCAUCGACAGUUAGCUCUGUUAUUGUUUCAAACUUGAAAACUGGUGUCAGAAAAGGAGCAUGGGACAAAGUAGAGUGUAAUACCGGCAUUCAAGGCUGCUGCUGAGAGUCUGCUAAUUACCUCUGAUCUGUCACCAGCAGAUUUAGUAAGGCCAAUAUGGAAUACUUUAAGGAUCUUGCAAAUGCUUAAGAACCAAAGGUAUAUGUUCUGCAUU